GUUUUCAUACCUGAGCACAGGCAGCGGCCGGAGUCGAGAUGCUCCCAUGGGCGGCCACGGCGUCACCCGCCGCCACUCCGGCCACCUUCGCCAUCUCCUUAGCUAGUCUCCUCCGCGCCGCCUAUCCCCGCCCUCCACGGCCUCCCUUCCGCCCCCUCCCGCUGCUGCUGCGUGCGGGCCUCAGGGCCCCACCGCGCGCCGCCUCUUCCAACGGCGACGUCUUCUGGGAGGAGCCGGACGACGGGUCCGGGAGCGACUAUGAGGACGAAGUGGAGGAGGAGAACGAGCGGAGGAGGAGCUCACGUUCCCCGUCCCCCUCGCCGCUCUCCAGGCUGGAGGCGGCGCGGCAGCAAGAACAGGAGCUCCGAAGAGAAAUCGAGCUCCUCUUGACGCCAGAAGAGAAGGCUAUCUUGGAUCAACACGAGACCCCUGAUGUCACUAAAAUAUCAUCACCGAAAUGGCAUCCGCUUCAUAGUUAUGCGUUGGCGCUGCAGAUACCUCUCAUGGACAGGCUCCUUGACAGUGGAGUUGACAUCAAUUUACUUGAUAAAGAUGGCUUCACCCCCCUUCACAAGGCAAUCAUAGGCAAGAAAGAGGCUGUCAUUAGCCAUCUCCUAAGAAAAGGGGCAAAUCCCCAUGUUAGAGAUAGGGAUGGAGCCACACCAUUACAUUAUGCUGUUCAAGCUGGUGCCCUGCAAACCGUGAAGUUACUGAUUAAGUACAAGGUUGACGUCAAUGUUGCUGAUAAUGAUGGAUGGACACCGCUACAUUUAGCCAUACAGAGUAGAAAUAGAGAUAUAGUAAAGGUCUUGCUUGUCAACGGUGCGGAUAGGACAAGAAGAACCAAGGAUGGAAGGACUGCAUUGGAUCUAAGCUUAUGUUUUGGAAGGGAUUUCAAGUCGUAUGAUCUUGCAAAGCUUGUAAAACUUAUUCCAGCAAACAGAGUGUGAUUUUGCUGUGCCACAUAUCUGAGUGAAAUAAAGAGCAAAUGCUAGCCAUUGAAGCUAAGACAGGUAACAGGUAAAAGCAACAAGAAUGGAAUUAUAGACAAAAUUUCCCCGCAUGCUCUGGGCUCCAGGCGGUCUGACAGAUUCGCUCUGCAGUUGCUCUAUUGGAAUUUGGAAGUGCAAUGGUCUUUACUCUGAAGUAGUCUGUUCGUCAUGACUCAAAAGUAAACUACGGCCAUACAUGAAAUCAAUUUCUCAGUGA
Molecule: RNA transcript, 1209 nt
Organism: Panicum virgatum (switchgrass)
Lineage: Eukaryota; Viridiplantae; Streptophyta; Magnoliopsida; Poales; Poaceae
Gene name: ankyrin repeat domain-containing protein EMB506, chloroplastic-like
Exons: 9
Source: RefSeq, a predicted model, not a curated record